AGGUAAGCUACUAAGAGCGAAUGGUGGAUGCCUUGACUGGUAAAGGCGAUGAAGGACGUACUAGACUGCGAUAAGCUACGGGGAGCUGUCAAGAAGCUUUGAUCCGUAGAUUUCCGAAUGGGGCAACCCAAUGUAUAGAGAUAUACAUUACCUAUAUAGGAGCGAACGAGGGGAAUUGAAACAUCUUAGUACCCUCAGGAAAAGAAAUCAAUAGAGAUUGCGUCAGUAGCGGCGAGCGAAAGCGCAAGAGGGCAAACCCAGUGCUUGCACUGGGGGUUGUAGGACUGCAAUGUGCAAGAGGUAAGUUUAGCAGAACAUUCUGGAAAGUAUAGCCAUAGAGGGUGAUAGUCCCGUAUGCGAAAAACAAACCUUAGCUAGCAGUAUCCUGAGUAGGGCGGGACACGAGGAAUCCUGUCUGAAUCCGGGUCGACCACGAUCCAACCCUAAAUACUAAUACCAGAUCGAUAGUGCACAAGUACCGUGAGGGAAAGGUGAAAAGAACUGAGGUGAUCAGAGUGAAAUAGAACCUGAAACCAUUUGCUUACAAUCAUUCAGAGCCCUAUGUAGCAAUACAGGGUGAUGGACUGCCUUUUGCAUAAUGAGCCUGCGAGUUGUGGUGUCUGGCAAGGUUAAGCAAACGCGAAGCCGUAGCGAAAGCGAGUCUGAAUAGGGCGCUUAGUCAGAUGCUGCAGACCCGAAACGAAGUGAUCUAUCCAUGAGCAAGUUGAAGCUAGUGUAAGAACUAGUGGAGGACUGAACCCAUAGGCGUUGAAAAGCCCCGGGAUGACUUGUGGAUAGGGGUGAAAGGCCAAUCAAACUUCGUGAUAGCUGGUUCUCUCCGAAAUAUAUUUAGGUAUAGCGUUGUGUCGUAAUAUAAGGGGGUAGAGCACUGAAUGGGCUAGGGCAUACACCAAUGUACCAAACCCUAUCAAACUCCGAAUACCUUAUAUGUAAUCACAGCAGUCAGGCGGCGAGUGAUAAAAUCCGUCGUCAAGAGGGAAACAACCCAGACUACCAGCUAAGGUCCCUAAAUCUUACUUAAGUGGAAAACGAUGUGAAGUUACUUAAACAACCAGGAGGUUGGCUUAGAAGCAGCCAUCCUUUAAAGAAAGCGUAAUAGCUCACUGGUCUAGUGAUUUUGCGCGGAAAAUAUAACGGGGCUAAAGUAAGUACCGAAGCUGUAGACUUGCACACAACUUAGAUUAUUUAAGUUUAGAAUAUUAAGAAACUAAGUUAUAUGUUUUAGUUAUAUUUUUACUGAUUUUUAUAGGGUAAAGAUAGAAAUAAAACUUAGUAAAAUCAGUAAAAAUAUUCUUAGGCUAAAGUUAAGUAGUUUAAGUUGUGUGCAAGUGGUAGGAGAGCGUUCUAUUUGCGCCGAAGGUAUACCGGUAAGGAGUGCUGGAGCGAAUAGAAGUGAGCAUGCAGGCAUGAGUAGCGAUAAUUAAUGUGAGAAUCAUUAACGCCGUAAACCCAAGGUUUCCUACGCGAUGCUCGUCAUCGUAGGGUUAGUCGGGUCCUAAGCCGAGUCCGAAAGGGGUAGGCGAUGGCAAAUUGGUUAAUAUUCCAAUACCAACAUUAGUGUGCGAUGGAAGGACGCUUAGGGCUAAGGGGGCUAGCGGAUGGAAGU
RNAcentral lists this ribosomal RNA (1627 nucleotides) under Campylobacter jejuni. Its description in RNAcentral is "partial 23S ribosomal RNA". It matches the Rfam family "Bacterial large subunit ribosomal RNA", at positions 1 to 1505 of the family's 2925-position model. The record is from RNAcentral. Lineage: Bacteria; Pseudomonadati; Campylobacterota; Epsilonproteobacteria; Campylobacterales; Campylobacteraceae.